Molecule: long non-coding RNA, 212 nt
Filed under: Mytilus galloprovincialis (Mediterranean mussel)
Lineage: Eukaryota; Metazoa; Mollusca; Bivalvia; Mytilida; Mytilidae
Source: RNAcentral
GUGUGAACCAUCGAUGUUUACAGCAAUAUCAAAGAAUAAGAUGAUGAUGGUAGAAAGACUUAUGGGCGUCAUGUGGCAAAUAUUACAUGCAUAUCGGACUAUGAGUUGUCAAUUUGUAUGAAAAGAUUACCAAUACAACCAUAUUAUUGAGAAGGAAUGUUUACAUGCUAUACCGUCUCGUACUAGUAUUACAGGGUUCUUGUGGCGUUCAC